This 876-nucleotide ribosomal RNA is filed under the name Spermospora ciliata. RNAcentral describes it as "partial large subunit ribosomal RNA". It matches the Rfam family "Eukaryotic large subunit ribosomal RNA", at positions 47 to 940 of the family's 3401-position model. Lineage: Eukaryota; Fungi; Ascomycota; Leotiomycetes; Helotiales; Ploettnerulaceae. The record is from RNAcentral.
UAAGCGGAGGAAAAGAAACCAACAGGGAUUACCUCAGUAACGGCGAGUGAAGCGGUAACAGCUCAAAUUUGAAAGCUGGCUCUUUUAGGGUCCGCGUUGUAAUUUGUAGAAGAUGCUUCGGGUGUGGCCCCGGUCUAAGUUCCUUGGAACAGGACGUCAUAGAGGGUGAGAAUCCCGUAUGUGACUGGGUGCCUUCGCUCAUGUGAAGCUCUUUCGACGAGUCGAGUUGUUUGGGAAUGCAGCUCAAAAUGGGUGGUAAAUUUCAUCUAAAGCUAAAUAUUGGCCAGAGACCGAUAGCGCACAAGUAGAGUGAUCGAAAGAUGAAAAGCACUUUGGAAAGAGAGUUAAACAGUACGUGAAAUUGUUGAAAGGGAAGCGCUUGCAACCAGACUUGCGCGCUGAUGAUCAUCCGGGCUUCUGCCCGGUGCACUCGUCUGCGCUCAGGCCAGCAUCGGUUUCGGUGGUGGGAUAAAGGCCUUGGGAAUGUAGCUCCUCUCGGGGAGUGUUAUAGCCCUCGGUGCAAUGCCGCCUACUGGGACCGAGGACCGCGCUUCGGCUAGGAUGCUGGCGUAAUGGUUGUAAGCGACCCGUCUUGAAACACGGACCAAGGAGUCUAACAUCUAUGCGAGUGUUUGGGUGUCAAACCCAUACGCGUAAUGAAAGUGAACGGAGGUGAGAACCCUUAAGGGUGCAUCAUCGACCGGUCCUGAUGUCUUCGGAUGGAUCUGAGUAAGAGCAUAGCUGUUGGGACCCGAAAGAUGGUGAACUAUGCGUGAAUAGGGUGAAGCCAGAGGAAACUCUGGUGGAGGCUCGCAGCGGUUCUGACGUGCAAAUCGAUCGUCAAAUUUGCGUAUAGGGGCGAAAGACUAAUCGAAA